Molecule: long non-coding RNA, 983 nt
Filed under: Pan troglodytes (chimpanzee)
Lineage: Eukaryota; Metazoa; Chordata; Mammalia; Primates; Hominidae
Description: long non-coding RNA NONPTRT005601
Source: RNAcentral
CUGCGGGAGGGUGUGUGGGGGCGGGGUCAGUGCUCGACUCUGGCAUCCUUUGUUGCACCCGGCCCUCCCCUAGCCCCUGACUCUGUAGUUCUGUUUCGCAGGUUCUGAGCAGUGCAGAGAACAUUGCUGUGGGGCUUGCAACAGAGAAAGCCUGUGCUUGGCUGUCAGCCAACAUCACAGCACUGAUCAGGAGGGAGGUGAAAGCAGCAGUGAGUCGCACACUUCGAGCCCAGGGUCCUGAACCUGCUGCCCGGGGGGAGCGGAGGGGCUGCUCCCGCGCCUGUGAGCACCAUGCUCCCCUCCCCUCCCACCUCAUCUCCGAGAUAAAAGACGUGCUCUCCUUGGCCGUGGGGCCACGGGACCCUGACGAGGGAGUCUCCCCAGAGCAUCUGGAACAGCUCCUAGGCCAGCUGGGCCAGACGCUGCGGUGCCGCCAGGUGAGCUGUGGCAUCUGCCACCGGAGGGCUUUUUUCUGUGUCCUUGUGUGAGACCUGAUAACCAGAGCCACACUGGCUCAGGGCCAGUUCUCGCAGCAGUAAGCAUGGUGAUACCUAUGGUCUCUCUUUCCACCCCCCCCAACCGCAGUUCCUGUGCCCACCUGCUGAGCAGCAUCUGGCAAAGUGCUCUGUGGAGUUAGCUUCCCUCCUCGUUGCAGAUCAAAUUCCUAUCCUAGGGCCCCCGGCACAGUACAGGCUGGAGAGAGGGCAGGCUCGAAGGCUUCUGCACAUGCUGCUUUCCUUGUGGAAGGAAGACUUUCAGGGGCCGGUUCCGCUGCAGCUGCUGCUGAGCCCAAGAAAUGUGGGGCUUCUGGCAGACACAAGGCCAAGGGAGUGGGACUUGCUGCUAUUCUUGCUCCGGGAGCUGGUGGAGAAGGGUCUGAUGGGACGGAUGGAGAUAGAGGCCUGCCUGGGCAGCCUCCACCAGGCCCUGUGGCCAGGGGUAAGGAGUCUCCUGUCUUUUAGGUGGAGAGAGAACAGGUGUUA